GAUGAACGCUAGCGGGAGGCCUAACACAUGCAAGCCGAGCGGUAGAGUUCCUUCGGGAACUUGAGAGCGGCGUACGGGUGCGUAACACGUGUGCAACCUACCUUUAUCUGGGGGAUAGCCUUUAAAAAGGAAGAUUAAUACCCCAUAAUAUAUUGAAUGGCAUCAUUUAAAAUUGAAACCUCUGGUGGAUAGAGAUGGGCACGCGCAAGAUUGGAUAUUUGGUGAGGUAACGGCUCACCAAGUCUGUUAUCUUUAGGGGUCCUGAGAGGGAGAUCCCCCACACUGGGACUGAGACACGGACCAGACUCCGACGGGAGGCAGCAGUGAGGAAUAUUGGACAAUGAGUGAGAGCCUGAUCCAGCCAUCCCGCGUGAAGGAUGACGGUCCUAUGGAUUGUAAACUUCUUUUGUACAGGAAUAAACCUAUUUACGUGUAAAUAGCUGAAGGUACUGUACGAAUAAGCACCGGCUAACUCCGUGCCAGCAGCCGCGGUAA
RNAcentral lists this ribosomal RNA (495 nucleotides) under uncultured bacterium. RNAcentral's name for it is "partial 16S ribosomal RNA". It matches the Rfam family "Bacterial small subunit ribosomal RNA", at positions 28 to 523 of the family's 1533-position model. The record is from RNAcentral.